This 497-nucleotide ribosomal RNA is filed under the name uncultured bacterium. RNAcentral's name for it is "partial 16S ribosomal RNA". It matches the Rfam family "Bacterial small subunit ribosomal RNA", at positions 28 to 507 of the family's 1533-position model. The record is from RNAcentral.
GAUGAACGCUGGCGGCGUGCCUAAUACAUGCAAGUCGAGCGAACAGACGAGGAGCUUGCUCCUCUGACGUUAGCGGCGGACGGGUGAGUAACACGUGGAUAACCUACCUAUAAGACUGGGAUAACUUCGGGAAACCGGUGCUAAUAACGGAUAAUAUAUUGAACCGCAUGGUUCAAUAGUGAAAGACGGUUUUGCUGUCUCUUAUAGAUGGAUCCGCGCCGCAUUAGCUAGUUGGUAAGGUAACGGCUUACCAAGGCAACGAUGCGUAGCCGACCUGAGAGGGUGAUCGGCCACACUGGAACUGAGACACGGUCCAGACUCCUACGGGAGGCAGCAGUAGGGAAUCUUCCGCAAUGGGCGAAAGCCUGACGGAGCAACGCCGCGUGAGUGAUGAAGGUCUUCGGGUCGUAAAGCUCUGUUAUUAGGGAAGAACAAAUGUGUAAGUAUCUAUGCACGUCUUGACGGUACCUAAUCAGAAAGCCACGGCUAACUACGUG